GACGAACGCUGGCGGCGUGCUUAACACAUGCAAGUCGAACGGAAAGGCCCUGCUUUUGUGGGGUGCUCGAGUGGCGAACGUGUGAGUAACACGUGAGUCACCUGCCCUUGACUUUGGGAUAACUUCAGGAAACUGGGGCUAAUACCGGAUAGGAGCUCCUGCUGCAUGGUGGGGUUUGGAAAGUUUCGGCGGUUGGGGAUGGACUCGCGGCUUAUUAGCUUGUUGGUGGGGUAGUGGCUUACCAAGGCUUUGACGGGUAGCCGGCCUGAGAGGGUGACCGGCCACAUUGGGACUGAGAGACGGACCAGACUCCUACGGGAGGCAGCAGUGGGGAAUAUUGCACAAUGGGCGGAAGCCUGAUGCAGCAACGCCGCGUGCGGGAUGACGGCCUUCGGGUGGUAAACCGCUUUCGCCUGUGACGAAGCGGGAGUGACGGUAAUGGGUAAAGAAGCACCGGCUAACUACGUG
This 468-nucleotide ribosomal RNA is filed under the name uncultured bacterium. Its description in RNAcentral is "partial 16S ribosomal RNA". It matches the Rfam family "Bacterial small subunit ribosomal RNA", at positions 28 to 507 of the family's 1533-position model. The record is from RNAcentral.